This 72-nucleotide transfer RNA is filed under the name Rhipicephalus microplus (southern cattle tick). RNAcentral describes it as "tRNA-Glu". It matches the Rfam family "tRNA". Rfam says of the family: Transfer RNA (tRNA) molecules are approximately 80 nucleotides in length. Their secondary structure includes four short double-helical elements and three loops (D, anti-codon, and T loops). Further hydrogen bonds mediate the characteristic L-shaped molecular structure. tRNAs have two regions of fundamental functional importance: the anti-codon, which is responsible for specific mRNA codon recognition, and the 3' end, to which the tRNAs corresponding amino acid is attached (by aminoacyl-tRNA synthetases). tRNAs cope with the degeneracy of the genetic code in two manners: having more than one tRNA (with a specific anti-codon) for a particular amino acid; and 'wobble' base-pairing, i.e. permitting non-standard base-pairing at the 3rd anti-codon position. The record is from Rfam by way of RNAcentral. Lineage: Eukaryota; Metazoa; Arthropoda; Arachnida; Ixodida; Ixodidae.
UCCGGCGUGGUUCUAGUGGCUAGAGUUCUGGCUUUCACCCAGACGGCCCGGGUUCGAUUCCCGGCGUCGGAA